AGACUUGAGUCAUGUGGCUAGGAGACAGGCUCACCUUUCUACCCCAUCCCUGGUCCAUCCACUUCUGCUUCAGGCCUGUGAAUGAAGGAAAUAACCUCCCCUGUGUCUCUAAAGUUACAUUCUGGGAAGAAACGGAGUCAUGGAAGGAUAUAGAAUGAAGUAGCUCUGUUCAACAAGGAAAUCUGUAGCAAAACCAAUCCUGGAAACCCAAACUAGGGGUUUGAUAUCCAUCUCUUUGCCCAUCAGGUCAUAUUUCUUUUGGAGAAAAUUAGAAAUGAUCUAAAGAAAAAGGAAGAAAAUUGAAGAACUUUCCUCCCCAAGCCCUGUAUUAACAGAAUCUACAUUUUUCUGUUGAUUGCACAGAGGUCAGCCCCCCAGGGUUCACGGGAAACUGGACGGCCUCAUCCUCAGAGCCAUGCUUUGCACUCUUUAUCUUUUACACAGGGUGCAAAAGUGUUGCUUAGCAACAUCGAUUCUUCCAGCUCUAACAACUGCGGCAGCCCGCACAGCUGACAAUGGAGCAGAGUUUGCGAGUGAGCUCCUCAUUUUUCAGCUUCUUCACUGUGGCGAGAGGGAAUAAAGAAAGAAAAGGGUAGAAGUUCAUCUCCCUCUUAACAGAAACAGAACUUUCAUCAGUUCUGCCCAGAAUAAUGAUAACAAUAACAACAAACAGAAAACAGAAAACACC
Molecule: long non-coding RNA, 688 nt
Filed under: Homo sapiens (human)
Lineage: Eukaryota; Metazoa; Chordata; Mammalia; Primates; Hominidae
Description: HSALNT0356785
Source: RNAcentral